Molecule: transfer RNA, 72 nt
Filed under: Enterocytozoon bieneusi H348
Lineage: Eukaryota; Fungi; Microsporidia; Enterocytozoonidae
Description: tRNA-Thr (TGT) (tRNA-Thr-TGT-1-1)
Rfam family: tRNA
About the family: Transfer RNA (tRNA) molecules are approximately 80 nucleotides in length. Their secondary structure includes four short double-helical elements and three loops (D, anti-codon, and T loops).
Source: Rfam by way of RNAcentral
GGCUCAAUAGCUCAGUGGUAGAGCAACAGUUUUGUAAACUGUGGGUCGGGGGUUCAAUCCCCUCUUGAGCCU